GAUGAACGCUAGCUACAGGCUUAACACAUGCAAGUCGAGGGGUCUCGAGGAAGCUUGCUUUCGAGAGACGACCGGCGCACGGGUGAGUAACGCGUAUCCAACCUGCCCUUCAUAUUGGGAUAGCCUUCCGAAAGGAAGAUUAAUACCGAAUAACAUAGAGUGAUUGCCUGAUUUCUCUAUGAAAGCUCCGGCGAUGAAGGAUGGGGAUGCGUUCCAUUAGGUAGUAGGCGGGGUAACGGCCCACCUAGCCGACGAUGGAUAGGGGUUCUGAGAGGAAGGUCCCCCACACUGGAACUGAGACACGGUCCAGACUCCUACGGGAGGCAGCAGUGAGGAAUAUUGGUCAAUGGGCGCAAGCCUGAACCAGCCAAGUAGCGUGAAGGAAGACUGCCCUAUGGGUUGUAAACUUCUUUUAUACGGGAACAAACCCUGGUACGUGUACCAGAUUGCGUGUACCGUAUGAAUAAGCAUCGGCUAACUCCGUG
This 485-nucleotide ribosomal RNA is filed under the name uncultured bacterium. Its description in RNAcentral is "bacterial SSU rRNA". It matches the Rfam family "Bacterial small subunit ribosomal RNA", at positions 28 to 507 of the family's 1533-position model. The record is from RNAcentral.